CAGAACCUCACUCUACAACCAGCGCGUUCCUUGCUCUAGAGUAAGAACGGAAUCUAAAAAGUCCUAACAUUCCUGUGAAAAGGACGUUGCCUAUUUACAUUGGCUGAGUACAAUCCAACCGGAGAAGCAAAGAAGGAAGCUGAACCUGCAAUAAUGGCGCCCAAGUUUGUUUGCUUGAUCUGCGUAUUUUUUGUCCUGUUGUCAUUUUCAAUUGACUCCGACGCCGCUAUCAUCAGUGGUCCAAAUUUUUGCCCCAAAAACGGGUGUGGACGAAGGAGAAGAUCAAAUACAAAGACAAAAGAGCGUUAUCUUCUCUCAGAGCGCAGGUUGUGUGACGUUGCCGAACGUAUGGGCUGCCGAACCGAACUUUGAUCGCAACCAAUACAAUUUAAAGGUGUCUACCAAAGCUUGAACCAUGGAUGUUCACAUGUUAAAGGAUGCGUUGUAAACUAAAUAAAGCUCAUUAAAAUGUUGAAUCUAUUUUCAUUGAAAUUUAGCCAUGCCAAUGAGAAUAGUUAGGUAUCUGUUUCUUCUAGAUUCACCUUAACUGAAUAUAGCUAGUGUAAGUUACCUUAAGCAUUGUAAUAAAAACCCCGUUUUAGACUUCAAGUUUA
This is a long non-coding RNA of Stylophora pistillata, 614 nucleotides long. RefSeq lists it as uncharacterized. NCBI's taxonomy places the organism in Eukaryota, Metazoa, Cnidaria, Anthozoa, Scleractinia, Pocilloporidae. The record is from RefSeq and is a predicted model, not a curated record.